GGAAAGGUGCCUGCUUCCUGUUGACCUAUUCCCUCGGUGCUCUGCCUCCCCUAUUUACCCUUUUUCACACAGGUGCCGACUUCCUGUUGACGGAGGUGGAAAAUGGUGGCUCCUUGGGCAGCAAGAAGGGUGUGAACCUUCCUGGGGCUGCUGUGGACUUGCCUGCUGUGUCGGAGAAGGACAUCCAGGAUCUGAAGUUUGGGGUCGAGCAGGAUGUUGAUAUGGUGUUUGCGUCAUUCAUCCGCAAGGCAUCUGAUGUCCAUGAAGUUAGGAAGGUCCUGGGAGAGAAGGGAAAGAACAUCAAGAUAAUCAGCAAAAUCGAGAAUCAUGAGGGGGUUCGGAGGUUUGAUGAAAUCCUGGAGGCCAGUGAUGGGAUCAUGGUGGCUCGUGGUGAUCUAGGCAUUGAGAUUCCUGCAGAGAAGGUCUUUCUUGCUCAGAAGAUGAUGAUUGGACGGUGCAACCGAGCUGGGAAGCCUGUCAUCUGUGCUACUCAGAUGCUGGAGAGCAUGAUCAAGAAGCCCCGCCCCACUCGGGCUGAAGGCAGUGAUGUGGCCAAUGCAGUCCUGGAUGGAGCUGACUGCAUCAUGCUGUCUGGAGAAACAGCCAAAGGGGACUAUCCUCUGGAGGCUGUGCGCAUGCAGCACCUGGUGAGUUCUGGGGCCUGCCCCAUCCCCCGGGCUUCGGACUGGGCCUGGGAUG
Molecule: small RNA, 699 nt
Filed under: Pongo abelii (Sumatran orangutan)
Lineage: Eukaryota; Metazoa; Chordata; Mammalia; Primates; Hominidae
Description: retained intron
Source: RNAcentral